Molecule: ribosomal RNA, 336 nt
Filed under: Pantoea sp. LGI1Q
Lineage: Bacteria; Pseudomonadati; Pseudomonadota; Gammaproteobacteria; Enterobacterales; Erwiniaceae
Description: bacterial SSU rRNA
Rfam family: Bacterial small subunit ribosomal RNA
Source: RNAcentral
CAGAGAACUUAUGNGAGUCAGCAUGCUUAGGUGCCUUCGGGAACUCUGAGAACCGGUGCUGCUAUGGCUGUCGUCAGCUCGUGUUGUGAAAUGUUGGGUUUAGUUCCCGCAAGGAAGGNCAACCCUUUAUNCUUUGUUGCCAGCGGUCCGGCCGGGAACUCAAAGGAGACUGCCAGUGAUAAACUGGAGGAAGUGUCGGGGAUGACGUCCAGUCAUCAUGGCCCUUACGAGUAGGGCUACACACGUGCUACAAUGGCGCAUACAGAGAGAAGCGACCUCGCGAGAGCAAAGCGGACCUCAUAAAGUGCGUCGUAGAUCCGGAUUAGGAGUCUGCAA